GAUGAAGAACGUAGCGAAAUGCGAUAAGUAAUGUGAAUUGCAGAAUUCAGUGAAUCAUCGAAUCUUUGAACGCACCUUGCGCUCCUUGGUAUUCCGAGGAGCAUGCCUGUUUGAGUGUCAUGAAAACCCUCAACCUUAGAUUGGUUAAAACCUUUCUUUGGCUUGGAUUUGGACGUUUGCCGAUGAUAAGUCGGCUCGUCUUAAAAGUAAUAGCUGGAUCUGUCUCGCGACAUGGUUUGACUUGGCGUAAUAAGUAUUUCGCUAAGGACAUCUUCGGAUGGCCGCGUUGCAAGACUAAAGACCGCUUUCUAAUCCAUUGAUCUUCGGAUUAAUAUUCUUGACAUCUGGCCUCAAAUCAGGUAGGACUACCCGCUGAACUUAAGCAUAUCAAUAAGCGGAGGA
RNAcentral lists this unclassified non-coding RNA (402 nucleotides) under soil metagenome. Its description in RNAcentral is "partial contains 5.8S ribosomal RNA, internal transcribed spacer 2, and large subunit ribosomal RNA". The stretch from base 1 to 120 matches the Rfam family "5.8S ribosomal RNA", at positions 35 to 154 of the family's 154-position model. The record is from RNAcentral.